CCUACGGGUGGCAGCAGUGAGGAAUAUUGGUCAAUGGGCGGAAGCCUGAACCAGCCAAGUAGCGUGCAGGAUGACUGCCCUACGGGUUGUAAACUGCUUUUAUACGGGGAUAACGCUCUUCACGUGUAGAUGUUUGCAUGUACCGUAUGAAUAAGGACCGGCUAAUUCCGUGCCAGCAGCCGCGGUAAUACGGAAGGUCCGGGCGUUAUCCGGAUUUAUUGGGUUUAAAGGGAGCGUAGGCCGCAUGUUAAGCGUGCUGUGAAAUGUUCGGGCUCAACCCGGGGAGUGUGGCGCGAACUGGCGACCUUGAGUGCGCGGAAGGCAGGCGGAAUUCGUGGUGUAGCGGUGAAAUGCUGAGAUAUGACGAAGAACCCCGAUUGCGAAGGCAGCUUGCUGCAGCGGUACUGACGCUGAAGCUCGAAAGCGCGGGUAUCGAACAGGAUUAGAUACCCGAGUAGUC
RNAcentral lists this ribosomal RNA (460 nucleotides) under uncultured bacterium. Its description in RNAcentral is "partial 16S ribosomal RNA". It matches the Rfam family "Bacterial small subunit ribosomal RNA", at positions 338 to 795 of the family's 1533-position model. The record is from RNAcentral.